GAUGAACGCUGGCGGCGUGCCUAAUACAUGCAAGUCGAGCGAAUGGAUUAAGAGCUUGCUCUUAUGAAGUUAGCGGCGGACGGGUGAGUAACACGUGGGCAAUCUGCCCUUGACUCUGGGAUAACUGCGGGAAACUGUAGCUAAUACCGGAUACUUUCGCUGGAAGGCAUCUUCUGGUGAAGAAAGAAUUUCGGUCAAGGAUGAGCUCGCGGCCUAUCAGCUUGUUGGUGAGGUAACGGCUCACCAAGGCGACGACGGGUAGCCGGCCUGAGAGGGCGAGCGGCCACACUGGGAGUGAGACACGGCCCAGACUCCUACGGGAGGCAGCAGUGGGGAAUAUUGCACAAUGGGCGCAAGCCUGAUGCAGCAACGCCGCGUGAGAGAUGAAGGCCUUCGGGUUGUAAACCUCUUUUAGCAGGGAAGAAGCGAAAGUGACGGUACCUGCAGAAAAAGCACCGGCUAACUACGUGCCAGCCGCCGCAGUAA
This 486-nucleotide ribosomal RNA is filed under the name uncultured bacterium. RNAcentral's name for it is "partial 16S ribosomal RNA". It matches the Rfam family "Bacterial small subunit ribosomal RNA", at positions 28 to 523 of the family's 1533-position model. The record is from RNAcentral.